AACGUGCCGGUGACAAACCGGAGGAAGGUGGGGAUGACGUCAAGUCAUCAUGGCCCUUAUGUCCAGGGCUACACACGUGCUACAAUGGACGGUACAGAACGAUGCGAAACCGCGAAGGCGAAGCAAAUCGGCGAAAACCGUUCGUAGUUCGGAUUGGAGUCUGAAACCCGACUCCAUGAAGUUGGAAUCGCUAGUAAUCGCGCAUCAGCACGGCGCGGUGAAUACGUUCCCGGGUCUU
RNAcentral lists this ribosomal RNA (238 nucleotides) under uncultured Treponema sp. Its description in RNAcentral is "partial 16S ribosomal RNA". It matches the Rfam family "Bacterial small subunit ribosomal RNA", at positions 1147 to 1382 of the family's 1533-position model. Lineage: Bacteria; Pseudomonadati; Spirochaetota; Spirochaetia; Treponematales; Treponemataceae. The record is from RNAcentral.